RNAcentral lists this ribosomal RNA (253 nucleotides) under uncultured bacterium. RNAcentral describes it as "partial 16S ribosomal RNA". It matches the Rfam family "Bacterial small subunit ribosomal RNA", at positions 524 to 776 of the family's 1533-position model. The record is from RNAcentral.
UACGAAGGGGGCUAGCGUUGCUCGGAAUCACUGGGCGUAAAGGGUGCGUAGGCGGGUCUUUAAGUCAGGGGUGAAAUCCUGGAGCUCAACUCCAGAACUGCCUUUGAUACUGAAGAUCUUGAGUUCGGGAGAGGUGAGUGGAACUGCGAGCGUAGAGGUGAAAUUCGUAGAUAUUCGCAAGAACACCAGUGGCGAAGGCGGCUCACUGGCCCGAUACUGACGCUGAGGCGCGAAAGCGUGGGGAGCAAACAGG